ACUGGCUGUAUGGCCUUGGGCCAGUUGCUGCCCUUCUCUAGGCCUCAACAACUUGGCUCUGACAGCCUUCCCCAGCUCUGCACUCAGAGGGUCCUAGAGCUUGUAACCUGAGGCCAACAUCACGGUUUGGGGAUAGAAAGGAUCUUGUCAUCUAGUCCAAGUCCUUUGCUUUUCAUAGGCUACUAUGAACACCCUCCUUGGGGGCCACAGAGUAACCCUGGUCAGCCUGGUAACCCAAGGUCAUAAACUGGUUGCAAAGAGGACCACUGGGGAGAAAGUAAAUGCGUCAGAGAAAAUCUACUGGGAAGACAACCCCAACCACUUGUUGGAUACCUCUAUCCACAAGAGGGCCCCCACAUGGAGGACAUGAAGCAGAUGAGGGCAGACAUGUACUAACGUGGGCCAUACGUACGAAGCAGAGCCAUGUACAGCAGGAGAGAAUGGAGCGGGCAGCAGUGAACUUUGGCUGGGGAAACAGGGAAGGCUUUUUGAGCUGGAUCAACGGGGCAUCGGGAUACAGAAUUUAAGGAGUCAUUAACCUCGUCCUGAAGGGCUCAGAGAACCAGCGGAUGAGGGGGUCGGUUCCCAGUGUUGGGGGACCAGACGAGGGAGGGAGCCUGGUUUGACCCUUGAAGGACAGAUGAGCGGCUGGCAAAGUAGAAAGCAAAAAUACAGUGCCCUAUGCAACGGGAACAGCCAAAGCACAGCAACCAGCUCCCAUCCCCACCCCCCAUCCACUUAACACUUAGGGAACCACUGCCAUUUACUAAAGUCAUAGAGCGAGCAUGGGGGACUGGAGACUCAGAGAUGACUGAGAUGCCAUCCAUGUUUCCAGGAGCUCAUAACCGGGAGGGAAAACAAGUAAGUAAAUGGAAAAGGGAGCGCUCUGUGCUCAGGGUCCUGUUAGCACACACAGGGCUGCAGAGCAGGGAGUGCCCCUGCCUUGAUGUGUGUGGUAGCAUUUCCUGAACAAAAACCUGAGCUGAGGCUGAAAGAUGAGAAAGGGAGGGUGGUCUGGGCUGACGGUACAACAGGUACAAAAACACAGAGGUAUUAGCAGGUUACUCGUCAAAAGGAGGUCCAUCCUGGGGUGUCAGUAAGGUUCUGCUUCUUGAUCUGGGUGCCUGCCUCCUGGGCGUGUGCAGUUCCAGAAAAGCACACUUAUGACUCAUAUGCGUACACUCACCUUGGUUGCACAAAGUAGCCCCCAGUCUCUCACAUGGCCAUUUUAUUUUUCUGCACAGCACUUAUCACCAUUUAAAAGUAUCCCUUUUGUAAGACUCUCUGGAGCCAUAAUGUUAGGGUUUGAAUCUGGUCCUCCCAUACCAGCUCUACGACCAUGCGAACUCAACCCCACUGAGUCAGUCUCCCCACCUGUGAAAUGGAGAUGAAGAUAGCACCUUUAUCACAGGUUGUGGACCGAGGCAGUCACUUGAGGUCCAUACAGCACUUACAGGGUGCUUCCUCUGUGCUCAUCGUGACAAUACUGAAUUUCUAACUAUUGGCGGGACCUGGUAAAUAGGAACUUAAUAAUUUGUUUAAGAAAUG
This is a long non-coding RNA of Equus caballus (horse), 1548 nucleotides long. The record is from Ensembl. NCBI's taxonomy places the organism in Eukaryota, Metazoa, Chordata, Mammalia, Perissodactyla, Equidae.